CGCGUAGGCGGCCCUGUAAGUCCGCUGUGAAAGUCAAAGGCUCAACCUUUGAAAGCCGGUGGAUACUGCAGGGCUGGAGUCCGGAAGAGGCGAGUGGAAUUCCUGGUGUAGCGGUGGAAUGCGCAGAUAUCAGGAGGAACACCGAUAGCGAAGGCAGCUCGCUGGGACGGUACUGACGCUGAGGCGCGAAAGCGUGGGGAGCGAACAGGAUUAGAUACCCUGGUAGUCCACGCCGUAAACGAUGGGCACUAGGUGUGGGAGGUGUCGACUCCUCCCGUGCCGUCGCUAACGCACUAAGUGCCCCGCCUGGGGAGUACGGCCGCAAGGCUAAAA
RNAcentral lists this ribosomal RNA (333 nucleotides) under uncultured bacterium. RNAcentral describes it as "bacterial SSU rRNA". It matches the Rfam family "Bacterial small subunit ribosomal RNA", at positions 568 to 899 of the family's 1533-position model. The record is from RNAcentral.